UGGGGGGGGGGGGGGGGGGGGGGGGGGGGGGGGGGGGGGGGGGGGGGGGGGGGGGGGGGGGGGGGGGGGGGGGGGGGGGGGGGGGGGGGGGGGGGGGGGGGGGGGGGGGGGGGGGGGGGGGGGGGGGGGGGGGGGGGGGGGGGGGGGGGGGGGGGGGGGGGGGGGGGGGGGGGGGGGGGGGGGGGGGGGGGGGGGGGGGGGGGGGGGGGGGGGGGGGGGGGGGGGGGGGGGGGGGGGGGGGGGGGG
RNAcentral lists this long non-coding RNA (246 nucleotides) under Panax ginseng (ginseng). RNAcentral's name for it is "long non-coding RNA (PGIN_LNC000359)". The record is from RNAcentral. Lineage: Eukaryota; Viridiplantae; Streptophyta; Magnoliopsida; Apiales; Araliaceae.